Molecule: ribosomal RNA, 465 nt
Filed under: Vreelandella stevensii
Lineage: Bacteria; Pseudomonadati; Pseudomonadota; Gammaproteobacteria; Oceanospirillales; Halomonadaceae
Description: partial 16S ribosomal RNA
Rfam family: Bacterial small subunit ribosomal RNA
Source: RNAcentral
CCUACGGGUUGCUUCCGUGGGGAAUAUUGGACAAUGGGGGCAACCCUGAUCCAGCCAUGCCGCGUGUGUGAAGAAGGCCCUCGGGUUGUAAAGCACUUUCAGUGAGGAAGAACGCCUGGUGGUUAAUACCCAUCAGGAAAGACAUCACUCACAGAAGAAGCACCGGCUAACUCCGUGCCAGCAGCCGCGGUAAUACGGAGGGUGCGAGCGUUAAUCGGAAUUACUGGGCGUAAAGCGCGCGUAGGUGGCUUGAUAAGCCGGUUGUGAAAGCCCCGGGCUCAACCUGGGAACGGCAUCCGGAACUGUCAAGCUAGAGUGCAGGAGAGGAAGGUAGAAUUCCCGGUGUAGCGGUGAAAUGCGUAGAGAUCGGGAGGAAUACCAGUGGCGAAGGCGGCCUUCUGGACUGACACUGACACUGAGGUGCGAAAGCGUGGGUAGCAAACAGGAUUAGAUACCCUGGUAGUC